Molecule: ribosomal RNA, 492 nt
Filed under: uncultured bacterium
Lineage: Bacteria
Description: partial 16S ribosomal RNA
Rfam family: Bacterial small subunit ribosomal RNA
Source: RNAcentral
AGUGAACGCUGGCGGUAGGCCUAACACAUGCAAGUCGAACGGCAGCACAGUAAGAGCUUGCUCUUACGGGUGGCGAGUGGCGGACGGGUGAGGAAUACAUCGUAAUCUACUUUUUCGUGGGGGAUAACGUAGGGAAACUUACGCUAAUACCGCAUACGACCUACGGGUGAAAGCAGGGGAUCUUCGGACCUUGCGCGUUUGAAUGAGCCGAUGUCGGAUUAGCUAGUUGGCGUGGUAAAGGCCCACCAAGGCGACGAUCCGUAGCUGGUCUGAGAGGAUGAUCAGCCACACUGGAACUGAGACACGGUCCAGACUCCUACGGGAGGCAGCAGUGGGGAAUAUUGGACAAUGGGCGCAAGCAUGAUCCAGCCAUACCGCGUGGGUGAAGAAGGCCUUCGGGUUGUAAAGCCCUUUUGUUGGGAAAGAAAAGCAGCAGGUUAAUACCCCGCUGUUCUGACGGUACCCAAAGAAUAAGCACCGGCUAACUUCGUG